This 262-nucleotide ribosomal RNA is filed under the name uncultured Staphylococcus sp. Its description in RNAcentral is "partial 16S ribosomal RNA". It matches the Rfam family "Bacterial small subunit ribosomal RNA", at positions 99 to 354 of the family's 1533-position model. Lineage: Bacteria; Bacillati; Bacillota; Bacilli; Caryophanales; Staphylococcaceae. The record is from RNAcentral.
CGGACGGUAAGUAACACGUGGGUAACCUACCUAUAAGACUGGGAUAACUUCGGGAAACCGGAGCUAAUACCGGAUAAUAUUUCGAACCGCAUGGUUCGAUAGUGAAAGAUGGUUUUGCUAUCACUUAUAGAUGGACCCGCGCCGUAUUAGCUAGUUGGUAAGGUAACGGCUUACCAAGGCGACGAUACGUAGCCGACCUGAGAGGGUGAUCGGCCACACUGGAACUGAGACACGGUCCAGACUCCUACGGGAGGCAGCAGGC